AAGUCGUAACAAGGUUUCCGUAACACCUCCGUGGAGCCUUGGAGAUGCGCGACUUGUUAAAGAAUGUCGUCCACAGCCCCGAGACGAGUGAUCUCGGGGGCGACGUCACCUAAAUGCUGGGACCCUUCUUCAGUGAAGAGCGAUCAGCAGCCGGGGCCUUCCGGUUCACAGAUUAGAUGGUGACGGUCAGGUAGUUGGGAUCUCCCACUCUUGUCCCCCCCUCUCGGGGAGCCUGAUGAAGAUAUAAUCGGUCCGCUGUCCGGUGGACAGCGUGGGUGGACGUUCCGUAGGUGAACCUGCGGAAGGAUCAUUA
This 313-nucleotide ribosomal RNA is filed under the name Clavascidium lacinulatum. RNAcentral's name for it is "partial small subunit ribosomal RNA". The record is from RNAcentral. Lineage: Eukaryota; Fungi; Ascomycota; Eurotiomycetes; Verrucariales; Verrucariaceae.